This 262-nucleotide unclassified non-coding RNA is filed under the name Hevea brasiliensis (rubber tree). The record is from RNAcentral. Lineage: Eukaryota; Viridiplantae; Streptophyta; Magnoliopsida; Malpighiales; Euphorbiaceae.
GUGAGACACCAGAUCCUCCAUGCGGCAACCACACUCAUCUUUUCCAGUGAAAGAAAGGCCAGCAUCUUCAAAUUGCUACACCAUAACAGGAUUCACCUCAUAUCUAUGACGUGCCUCUCAUCUACAAAGCUCUGGUUGCCAAAUAGUAUUGCAGGUUCAGAAUUUUUUACUUGAAAAUACAUUCUUAUUAAUCCAAGACAUAUGGUACCACCCAUAUGUGUGAUUGAACCCUGUGAACAUGAUCUACAGGUUAAUGUAAAAC